This 428-nucleotide ribosomal RNA is filed under the name Pseudomonadota bacterium. RNAcentral's name for it is "Proteobacteria bacterium partial 16S ribosomal RNA". It matches the Rfam family "Bacterial small subunit ribosomal RNA", at positions 355 to 776 of the family's 1533-position model. The record is from RNAcentral. Lineage: Bacteria; Pseudomonadati; Pseudomonadota.
UGGGGAAUAUUGGACAAUGGGCGAAAGCCUGAUCCAGCAUGCCGCGUGUGUGAAGAAGGUCUUCGGAUUUUAAAGCACUUUAAGUUGGGAGGAAGGGCAGUAAGCGAAUACCUUGCUGUUUUGACGUUACCGACAGAAUAAGCCCCGGCUAACUCUGUGCCAGCAGCCGCGGUAAUACAGAGGGUGCAAGCGUUAAUCGGAAUUACUGGGCGUAAAGCGCGCGUAGGUGGUUCGUUAAGUUGAAUGUGAAAGCCCCGGGCUCAACCUGGGAACUGCAUCCAAAACUGGCGAGCUAGAGUAGGGCAGAGGGUGGUGGAAUUUCCUGUGUAGCGGUGAAAUGCGUAGAUAUAGGAAGGAACACCAGUGGCGAAGGCGACCACCUGGACUCAUACUGACACUGAGGUGCGAAAGCGUGGGGAGCAAACAGG